Long non-coding RNA from Micropterus dolomieu (smallmouth bass), 425 nucleotides. RefSeq lists it as uncharacterized. The transcript has 4 exons. Lineage: Eukaryota; Metazoa; Chordata; Actinopteri; Centrarchiformes; Centrarchidae. The record is from RefSeq and is a predicted model, not a curated record.
GUGUGUUUCCUCUCUGCAGGUAAAAAUUAGGUUCAUGCAACAGGCAAGGCGUGGCUGCUGUCAGAGGUCAGAGCAGCUGAAGAAACAUCUUCAACUCCAGGUCCUAAAGAGACGAUAAAGAUGAUGAAGAGCUGUUGUGUGAGACAGGAAGUGACUCCGACGUCCUGCUCGCUGCUCGUCUCCAGCUGUGUGUUAGGGAGGAGAGAUGGUUAAAAAAAUGGAGUCAGAGAAGAGAGACCAUCUCCCAACAGGGUAGGAGGGCUGAGACACCACCUAUCCUCCACAUCAUGGCCUAAACUGGGAGACUGAACCUGAUCUGGGAUCUGGGACUGGGACUGCCCCCCCCAAUAAACUCUGUGUCAACCUGGAUACGGUUUUCUAGCAUUGUAGUAAAUUGAUGAGGAGACGGAACAAAUGUUCUCAGU